This 307-nucleotide unclassified non-coding RNA is filed under the name uncultured fungus. RNAcentral describes it as "partial contains small subunit ribosomal RNA, internal transcribed spacer 1, and 5.8S ribosomal RNA". The stretch from base 1 to 73 matches the Rfam family "Eukaryotic small subunit ribosomal RNA", at positions 1759 to 1831 of the family's 1831-position model. Lineage: Eukaryota; Fungi. The record is from RNAcentral.
UCAAACUUGGUCAUUUAGAGGAAGUAAAAGUCGUAACAAGGUUUCCGUAGGUGAACCUGCGGAAGGAUCAUUACAUGGCGGAGGAGGUGGGCACCUAGUAAAAUCAAAAACUCUAGGUGUGUUGCCUACCACGCUUUCUACCCUUGUCUAUUUGCACCUUUUGUCGUUCCCUCGGUGGGUCUUGAACCUGCCGGCGGCAACUUUCAAACCCUUUUGCAGUUAGUAUCUAAUUCUUCUGAUUCAAUAUUCAAUCGUUACAACUUUCAACAAUGGAUCUCUUGGUUCUGGCAUCGAUGAAGAACGCAGC